Molecule: ribosomal RNA, 440 nt
Filed under: uncultured bacterium
Lineage: Bacteria
Description: partial 16S ribosomal RNA
Rfam family: Bacterial small subunit ribosomal RNA
Source: RNAcentral
CCUACGUGAGGCAGCAGUAGGGAAUAUUGCUCAAUGGGGGAAACCCUGAAGCAGCAACGCCGCGUGGAGGAUGACGGUUUUAGGAUUGUAAAAUCCUUUUGUUAGAGAAGAUAAUGACGGUAUCUAAAGAAUAAGCACAGGCUAACUCAGUGCCAGCAGCCGAGGUAAUACGGAGGGUGCAAGCGUUACUCGGAAUCACUGGGCGUAAAGCGCGAGUAGGGGGGAUAUCAAGUCAGAUGUGAAAUCAUAUGGCUUAACCAUAGAACUGCAUUUGAAACUGUUAUUCUAGAGUAUGGGAGAGGUAUGUGGAAUUCGUGGUGUAGGGGUAAAAUCCGUAGAGAUCAAGAGGAAGACUGAUUGCGAAGGCGACCUGCUAGAACAUAACUGACGCUGAUGCGCGAAAGCGUGGGGAGCAAACAGGAUUAGAUACCCUAGUAGUC